Molecule: ribosomal RNA, 305 nt
Filed under: uncultured bacterium
Lineage: Bacteria
Description: bacterial SSU rRNA
Rfam family: Bacterial small subunit ribosomal RNA
Source: RNAcentral
CUCCUCCUACGGGGCGCAGCAGUGAGGAAUAUUGGUCAAUGGGCGGGAGCCUGAACCAGCCAAGUCGCGUGAGGGAAGACGGUCCUAUGGAUUGUAAACCUCUUCAGGCGGGGAACAAUGCCGGGCACGCGUGUCCGGAGGGAGAGUACCCGCAGAAUAAGCAUCGGCUAACUCCGUGCCAGCAGCCGCGGCAAUACGGAGGAUGCGAGCGUUAUCCGGAUUUAUUGGGUUUAAAGGGUGCGUAGGCGGAUUUUUAAGUCAGCGGUAAAAUGUCCGGGCUCAACCCGGGCCGGCCGUUGAAACUG